UUACUCGUUGGUAAGGUAGUGGCUUACCAAGGUUGCAAUGGGUAACGGGGAAUCAGGGUUCGAUUCCGGAGAUGGAGCCUGAGAAACGGCUACAACAUCCAAGGAAGGCAACAGGCGCGCAAAUUACCCAAUCUAGACAGUAGGAGGUGGUGAAGAGAAUUACUAAGUGGUGGAUCAAUGAUCUACCAACUUGGAAUGGACGUAACUUAAGAAAUUCGUUGAUAAACAACUGGAGGGCAAGUCCUGGUGCCAGCAGCCGCGGUAAUUCCAGCUCCAGUAGUUUGCUUUAAAGUUGUUGCGUUUAAAACGCUCGUAGUUGGAUCAUGCAACAGUGUUCGGUAGUCUUUUCAUACGUCUAGAAUUUUCGUGGUGCUCAUCGAAAGACGACUCCCGAUCUCUAGACGUUGAUAGAUCUAAAAGCCGACCACUGUUAAUUGCACGUGAGAUGGAUUGUUGACCUUUAGUGAGUCGGUAAUCCUGUCUUGCGGAGUGUGCCUUGAAUAAAACAGAGUGCUUAAAGCAGGUUUACGCCUGAAUGUUAUAGCAUGGAACGAACAAUAGUGUAUACGUGCACGUUCUUUGAUAGCGUUAGACUUAUGGUUUGGCGUUGUUGGAGGCGUGUACAUCACCCACCAAAAUAUGGCUGUUGGUUCCAUAUACGGUGAUGAUUAAAAGGAGCGGUUGGAGGCAUCGGUAUUUGGCCGCGAGAGGUGAAAUUCUUGGACCGGCCAAGGACUAACAAAUGCAAAGGCACUUGUCUAGACCGUAUCCAUUAAUCAAGAACGAAAGUGGGAGGUUCGAAGACGAUCAGAUACCGUCCUAGUUCCCACUGUAAACUAUGCCGACCUGGGAUCAGUUUAGAGAUGCUACAAGCUCUAAAUUGGUCCCCCUGGGAAACCUCAAGUUUUUCGGUUACGGGGAGAGUAUGGUCGCAAGGCUGAAACUUAAAGGAAUUGACGGAAGGGCACCACCAGGGGUGGAGCCUGCGGCUUAAUUUGACUCAACACGGGGAAACUUACCUGGUCCGGACAUCGAUAGGAUACACAGACUGAUAGAUCUUUGUUGAUGCGAUGAGUGGUGGUGCAUGGCCGUUCUUAGUUCGUGGAGUGAUCUGUCAGCUUAAUUGCGGUAACGAACGAGACCACAGUCUCCAUUUAAGAAACAGAAAAAGAUGGCCUAUUGUUGGGACUUGUCUCAAUUGUAGGUUGUUGUUGGCUAGAAGUUUGGUCGUACGGCGGAGUUGCAAAAGAGUAAUCCGAUGUGGCCGAGUUGUAUGAUUGAGCUUUUUCCUUUCUGUCAAGCAGUAGCUGGUAUCUACCAGAUGCUGCCUUAUGGAGAGACAACGAGGUAUAAACAAGCUCGAGGAAGAGUGGCUAUAACAGGUCAGUGAUGCCCUUCGAUGUUCAGGGCUGC
Molecule: ribosomal RNA, 1413 nt
Filed under: Myxosporea sp. EE-2004
Lineage: Eukaryota; Metazoa; Cnidaria; Myxozoa
Description: SSU rRNA
Rfam family: Eukaryotic small subunit ribosomal RNA
Source: RNAcentral